GGCUUUUUCGAAGGGUUUUACAAGGUGGUCAUGCGCCGGACCUCCGUCUACGCCACCUUCGUAAUCGCCGGCGCUUUCCUCGGAGAACGAAAACGUUACGAAGACAUUCCAGUCUUGGGGCAAAGACCAUCAGAAGAAUGAAUUGUUCUCUCCUUGGUGAUUUUCUAAGUUCAAUACAUUUUGGAAGUUUGAAGCAUUUAUGUACUAGACAGCAUUGUGCAUGUUUGCAAUAAGCGUUUGUAGGCUUGUGUCAUCAGACAUUUUCCAAGCACGGUUUCACUCAUCCAGGCUGUUUGGAAGUGUUAAAUCGGGUAUAAAUUCUGUAUGACUACAUUGAUUCGUCUCUGAACAUUGUGUUCUUAAGUUAACUUUCUGAGUUUCUAAUCAGAUUCUCGACAUAUUCGUUUUCU
This is a non-coding RNA of Corylus avellana, 410 nucleotides long. NCBI's taxonomy places the organism in Eukaryota, Viridiplantae, Streptophyta, Magnoliopsida, Fagales, Betulaceae. The record is from RefSeq and is a predicted model, not a curated record.